GACGAACGCUGGCGGCGUGCUUAACACAUGCAAGUCGAACGGAAAGGCACUGAUUGCAGGGUACUCGAGUGGCGAACGGGUGGGUAACACGGGGGUGAUCUGCCCUGCACUUCGGCAUAAGCCUGGGAAACUGGGUCUAAUACCGGAUAGGAGCCACUUUCAGCGGGAUGGUUGGAAAGAUUUUUCGGUGUAGGAUGAGCUCGCGGCCUAUCAGCUUGUUGGGGGGGUAAUGGCCUACCAAGCCGGCGACGGGGAGCCGGCCUGUGAGGCUGGACGGCGACACUGAGUCUGAGGUACGGCCGAGACUCCUACGGGUGGCAGCUGUGCGGAAGCUUGAUCCAUGGGCGCCGGGUUGAUGCAGCGACGCCGCGUGUGGGAUGACGGCCUUGGUGUGGAAGACUACUUGCGCGAGAGACGAAGCUUUUUGUGACGGUACCUAGAUAAGAAGCACCGGCUAACUACGUG
RNAcentral lists this ribosomal RNA (465 nucleotides) under uncultured bacterium. RNAcentral describes it as "partial 16S ribosomal RNA". It matches the Rfam family "Bacterial small subunit ribosomal RNA", at positions 28 to 507 of the family's 1533-position model. The record is from RNAcentral.